Molecule: RNA transcript, 6307 nt
Organism: Nymphalis io (European peacock)
Lineage: Eukaryota; Metazoa; Arthropoda; Insecta; Lepidoptera; Nymphalidae
Gene: how
Gene name: protein held out wings
Exons: 8
Source: RefSeq, a predicted model, not a curated record
GAUAGCGCAAGCGCAGCGCUAUAUUCGCCCACAACUUCAGUUCGGUCAACUUCAUCUUCGUCAUUUAGUGGUGACCGAAACUUCGAUGUGUGUGGUAGUGAAGUUAACUUUUCUAACAUAGUAUUCUCACAAAAUAAUAAUAACCAAUUACUAAAGUACUAUUUCGUAUUGAACGUGUUUAUAUAAACUUUUAACGUGUCUUUAGUUGAAUAAAUAGUAAUCAAAAUGUGUGAUAAUACCAAUCCUUCGACACAAAGUAUAGCGGACUACUUAGCUCAGUUGCUCAAAGACAGGAAGCAACUGGCUGCGUUCCCGAAUGUUUUCAUGCACAUGGAGCGACUUCUGGAUGAAGAAAUAGCAAAAGUACGAGCAAGCUUAUUCCAAAUAAAUGGAGUCAAGAAGGAACCACUUAUUCUACCAGAGCCAGAGGGCAUGGUCACCACGCUGACAGAAAAAGUAUAUGUACCAGUAAAAGAACACCCAGAUUUCAACUUUGUGGGAAGGAUUCUCGGACCCAGAGGUAUGACUGCAAAACAGUUAGAACAGGAAACUGGAUGUAAAAUUAUGGUCAGGGGCAAAGGCUCAAUGAGGGAUAAGAAGAAGGAGGACGCCAACAGGGGUAAGCCAAAUUGGGAGCACCUAGCUGACGAUUUGCACGUACUGCUUACAGUCGAAGAUACAGAGAACAGAGCGAAGAUUAAGUUGGCCAGGGCUGUUGAAGAAGUCAAACGCCUGUUGGUACCUCAAGCUGACGGCGAAGAUGAACUGAAAAAACGUCAGUUAAUGGAAUUGGCCAUUAUAAAUGGCACAUACCGUGACUCAAGCACGAAAGCGGUCAUGCCCGUCAACGGUCAGUGCUUAAUAACCGAUGAAGAAUGGCGACGUGUAGCCGCAGAAACCCAGCGGUUAUUGGCACCAACUGGUGGAGUAGGUGGUGUAGGCAGCGUUGCUCUUCGCACAUCAGCGCCAUUGGGAGCUCCGUUGAUACUGUCUCCACGCAUACCUACAGCACCUGGUGGACAAGCUGGGUUGCUUAACGGAUCAGGCGCUGGUGCUGCCGCUGGUCUUCUGUCUCCCGGAGAACCGUCUCACCAGUUGAUCUACGCGUCACCAUAUGCUGACUACGCUAACUACGCAGCCCUGACAGCGGCUGCCAAUCCUCUGCUGACAGCGGAGUACGCCGCCGCCGACCAUACGGCGUCGAGAUAUCUACUUGCUGGCUUUUGACAUUGGCCACAAUUGCAGACCGCAAUAAGAUACGACAGGCUUCCAACUUCAUCGUUACGGUCAACGCAACAUUUUUAGGACCUGGCAAAUUGCAGUCGAAUAUCUUAUACCAUAGACUAUCAAAUCGACUUUAGUUCUACUGCCUGUUUAAAUUACCAUAGAUAAGUCUGGGUGUGGUAUUUUUAUAUGCGUGUCCGCAAGACCUAACCGUCCUUGAAAAAUUGUUUUUUAAAACGCCUCUUCUAAAGUCAUAAGAGCCAUUAACAAGUUAGAUUUAAGUUUUACUUUAAGAACGAUUUAAUUUAGUGACUCGAUAUUGUACCUACGUUAUGUUUUUAAUUUAAAAAACCAACUGUUUUUUCUUUAGCCGUUUUGUACAGUCAUACAAAGUAUAUUUUAUAUCUCAACGAACAAAGGAUAUUAUUUAUUUAUUAUAUAGCAUUAUAAAUUAUUUACACAAAGUAAUAUAAAUGAAAUAUUUAUUUUAACGUUUUCAUAACAGUGUUUGAAGGCAGAUUUGAAUAAAUAUUGUAGUUGAGUACUUCUGAUACUGCCAAUAGAACUCUUAUAAGUUACCGUUUUUCGAUAUACAAAGACAUAGAACUUUAUAUACAUUAUAUUAUUAUUACAUUAUAUAUAAUAGUCGCAUUGAUUAAAAAACAUAAUUUUCUAAUGUUUUUGUGAUAACCCUCGCUUGUAAUACAACUAAUCAAUUAACAUAUUGUUAAUGUUUAUUCACACAGUACCGGCUUUAAUACCGAGAUCACAAGAACGUAACAAUUUAAUGAAAUAAAUACUUCCUUGUGAGACAUAUAUUUAAAUAUUAGAAUUGGUGGAAAGCGUAGACAAAAAUAAAAUUUGCAAAAGCCGGUUCUUUUCAUAAAAUACUUCAGAAACUUGUCAAUAACAUUGUUGCAUGUUAUAAUUUUGAUCAUUAUUAGAUUUCCCGAAUGUGAUUAACAAGAUUUUUUUUUCGUUUUUUAUUAACUGUAAAAAUCUCUGAAUGACGAAAUAAUUAUUAAUAAUUCAGUGAUUACAAGCAAAGGGACCAAAUACAAAUUGAAUAUUUAUUACAAGCAACACAAUCGUAAUAUAUUUAACUAUUAACCACACUGAUUACUAAAAAUCUCAUAAACAUUCAAUUGUAGAAAUUGAAGAAGAACAUUCUAGACAAUUAUAAAUUUUCAACCUUACGAUAAUAACAUAGCAUUUUAUAUAUUGAGAACUAGAAUGUUAUGUUAUUGCUGUAACAAUGUCAUAGUUUAUUAAUUUAUUAGCCAUAUUAUUAUAUUUAUAAACAUACCAUAGGUUUAAGUAUUAUUUUUAUCUUUUAAAGAUUUUUUAGUUAGUGUAGAAAAGAGUGAGCUUUAUGAAAAAAAAAUCAAACAGCCGUUUAUUAAAUAGGUUCAUUAUUCUUUAUUCUUGUUGCUGAGUCAGAUUAUUUUAAAUGAUUAUAUAUUUUUAAUUAAUUUCUGUACGAUCAAAUGAGAUUUAAAGUUUUAUUUUUUAUUUCCAAAGCAAUAAUAUAUUAUUAUAGAUAAAUUUUAGACGUAGAUAAGCAUAAAACUUGAAGUUAGUGAUUACUGCCAAGCGUACGGCUUCUAUAAUAUCUAUGUUAAACAUUUUAAACGUGACCAACAUCGGCGGUUGUUAUUUACUGUUUGCAAACUUUGUACAAAUUGUAUGAAAUUGUAUGGCGUUAAAUUAAUGAGAAUAAUUUCUUUUCAGCAUUUAAAUAUAUAGUUUGUUACAGGCAUCCUAGGCAAUUAAAAACAAUUUAAAUAUCUAAAAUCGUAUCGUUUUUCAUUCCAUGGUAAUGAUAAAAGUGUUAUAUUGUUAAUUAUGUCAGUUUUAUAUGAUCAUCACAUAAACCUUAUUUUUGUAAAGUAUAUAAAAGCCUGGGUGCCGCUCAACGGUAAUUGGUUGAAACUUCAUAAUGCUCUGUUCAGACACAGAUAAUGAAUAUCCUAUGCCGCUAGGUAUCGUGCGGAGGGCGGGACGGCUGACGCAGGUGAGGGAGCACCCUUACCAGCGCACUGCCUUACCGGCGCCUUAAUUCCCGCCAAAACGCUCUCACGCCGCCAUUUUGUUAACAAGGUGAGUGCUAAUGGCGCCGAGGCAUUAACAGAAGAAACGGUCGCCCGCCCGCACAGGACCCUAUGUCGCCGCGUAACAUAUUCAUCGGAACAUCGACCACCAUGUAGCUAUAGCUGUUGGGCCUUUCACGUUAACAUGUACUAUGUAUUUUAAUAGUCUAACUAUUAACAUUUAUAUGCCUGUUAUGUUUAUAACAAGAUGAACUUUAUUAACAAUUUAUAUUAUAUUUCUUUUUGAAGUGGCACACGCCAUCGACUAUAUUUACUGUAUUGUAACAUUGUACUUCUGUUGUCGCUUGACCGUAUUGUUGUUGGAGCACGAGUGUUGUUAGGUUACCCUAUCUACCGCGGCGCUAAAUUUGUUUAAUAAUUUUUUAGUAUUUAGUUAUUUAUUAGAUCUAGUUAUAUAUUAUAUUAUCGAAAUAUAUAAAGUAUCGUUUUGUUGAGCAAAAAAUUUGGCGCCGUCGAAAUAUUAUUUUGAUGGCUUAGAAAUUAUUUUUAAACUGUUUCAAUUUAGAUCAUUUAAUCUUUUAGUAGAGUUGUUCAAUGUAGUUGACGUAAAACUGAAAUCACUUUUGGUUACUGUCUGCUAUUUGAAUGCAUGUUUAUUUAUACAGAAACAUGAAUAAGAUUUUUAUAUUUUAACUUCUACAUUUUUAUAAACGAUUUAUAUGUUAAGUAUAGUACAAAUUACAUAAAUAUUCGUAUUCUGGAGUUGAGAAGAAACAUCGCUUCUCCAGAUAACAAACAAGAGGCAGGAUAGAGGUAACUGGAUGUAAGUAUAAAUGUAUUAGGUAUUAAUCCGCAAAAUUGUAGAUUAGCAUGUUUUCAUUGGACUGAUAAUCGAAUACCUAAUAGUCUUUGUAUUUCAUUUACUUAUUGACUCUAAGAUCGCUUUGGGAAAUUGUUAAACUUGAACCAAAGAAUAUUAAAAUGUCGGUCAUUGGAAUAUUUGAUACGUUUUAUAUCUGACCAAAAUUCAAGAUGUCUUCCGUCACAAAUAAUAAUUGGUCGAUGAGUAAAUGAAUUCGCAUUCGUGAUUAGUUCUUUUUUUUUUAAAUAAUUAUAUUUUAUAAUCUGUAGUGCUUAAUAUUUAUACAUAACAAAUCGUAUAUUGCACAUCCCAUGUGCCUUAAUAAUUAAUGUACAAUGUUUUCAUUUUUGUGGUUCUAUAAAACUGUUAUAUUGAUUAUUUAAUAAUAAAAGUAAAUUUAGAAGAGAUUAAAUUAUUGUUAACUUCGCUUAAUGUUAAUGUUUAUACUUUGUCUUGAAUCAAUUUAGGUAAUUAGUUGUAUUUUUGUAAAUGUAGUAGCUUCUCAAGACUAAUUGUCUUAUGGAUCAUAUAUAUACUUACAUUAAAGCCUUCGUUGCAAUCUCCUGUAAGAAUCUCUUGAUAAUUAUUAUUAUCUGUAUCAGAAUAUCACAGAUCACCUUUUAACGUGUUUUUUAGUGUCUUAAUAAUAAAUGUGUCUCGAAAAUUAAAAAUGUAUAAGCAAUUGCAAAUGGGGCAAUUAUAAUCAUAGAGUUAAUUGUUAUGUACAUAGCUAUGUAUUGUUAAAAGCAAUAAUAUUUCAAUAAUUUACUAUAUUAAAGCUAGUGCAAUAGAUGUUAUAUCAAAUGAAUAUUUUAUAGAAAAUUCUCAUUAUUUGAGCAAUUAUCAAAAGUAAGAGAGAUCUGAUGUUGAGAUUAACGAAAUACUAUUGUAAAAAUUUAAUCACAUGUUACAUUGAGAACGAAAAUUUAUACCUUAAAUUUUAUUUAGAAAUAAGAAUAAAUAUAAAAUAUAACUUUUCACGGGAAAAAGUAAAAAAAAAAAUCGUUGUCUUUAAGUGCCUUGUAUGAAUCUUUAGGAUAUUGUCAAAAUGCAUUCAAAUAAAAAAAAAUGUAUAAAAAUAUCGACAAGAGUAUGUUAAUUUUUUUAGGAACACAUGAAAUUUUUAUUAGCCUUUUAUUCGAAUUGUAUAAUCCUUGUUAACACACUCCGUCCAUGAUUACUUCAUUAUUAGUACUUAAUAUGUUGGUCUCUCACUCAAAUGAAUGACCAUAAAUAUCUCUAUGUAAUGUAUACGUUACGCAACGUAUACAUGUGUUAACAUUUGAAUCUUAUUAACGCCAUUCAUUAUGUUUUUUUAAUAAGAAUCUGAGAAUUUAAGUAUCUAGAUAUUAUCUAUACCUCAUACAAUCGUUAAUUUUUUUCAUAAAUUUGCAAUAGAUAUAUAUUAUAUUUAAGACCUUUUGAAACAUCUUUGUCAAUAUUUUUCGUGUCAAUUUCAUUGUUAAAAAUAUUAAUUAUCUUUAUAUGUGGUGCUAUAAAUUGCAUCAAAAUAAUUUCUGGCAACACCUUAAAUUAGUAAAAUAUUAAUCACUUAAAUAGAAUUAUGUUUGAAUCAAGUUUUAACAUUAUAUAAAAUAUUUUAACAUUAAAUAUAUAGCACCCAUUAUUUUAAAUCGAGUAAGUUAAACGAUAAUAUUUUCUGUAGCAUUUGGCUGUAUCUUUGUCUAUGGUACAAAAAAUAGCAUUUAAAAAAUAUCAGAUGCCAUACAGUUUUCGCAUGAAAAAUUUAACAUCUAUCUAUAAUAUCAGUAUAAUAAUAUCGUGAUUAAUGAAGUUAACGUACAAAGUUUUUGAAAGUCUGUGUAUAGUUAUUUUACAAUGUUUCAAACACGAUGUAUUGUUCAUUGAAACAUUUUUUGUGCCAUCAUCAGACGGACUUUCAUGUUUUUUUUUAAUAAUAUUUGUACUUAUACCUACAAUGGCAAAUCACAAAUGUGCCUUAAAAUGAACUUUGUAAAUAAAUAUAUACUAUAAUUUUCAAUAAAGUAUUAAAGGAGAAUAAAUUCUUACAAAUUGUUUUCCAAAAACAAAAUAGAGUAUAUCUACUUUUAAAGCUUAGUUAAGUGAGAUUGUGCAUAUUACUUAUGUCUGUUUUGAUGUGUGUUUAAGAUUGAUUUGGCAUUAGUAAAUAUAUUAUUUGGAAAAAAUC